RNAcentral lists this small RNA (159 nucleotides) under Actinacidiphila rubida. RNAcentral describes it as "Streptomyces rubidus c-di-AMP sequence". It matches the Rfam family "c-di-AMP riboswitch aptamer (ydaO/yuaA leader)". Rfam says of the family: This family represents a conserved RNA structure found upstream of the ydaO and yuaA genes in Bacillus subtilis and related genes in other bacteria. Lineage: Bacteria; Bacillati; Actinomycetota; Actinomycetes; Kitasatosporales; Streptomycetaceae. The record is from RNAcentral.
ACGUCACCUCCGCCUAAUCCGGCCGGCGGCCGGAACCGGGGACCCACCAGCAGUAAUUGGGGUGAAUCGGGACAGACGCCCGCAAGCGUCCGUACCGUAGGGCAGCCUUCCCAGCCCGAACCCGUCAGCUAACCCGGUCGGCGGUCCACGGAAGGAGUC